UAGUCCACAUAGCACCAACAGCCCAGUUUACAAAAUCUACAUCGAGUAGCACAUUUCUGCUGCUUUUAAUAAUCUUCCCAGUGUUAUAGACGGUGCUGAAGAGUCGGUGAUAUAUUUAGCACGAUGGCUGAGCUUUUUGCCUCGCACAACACUUGAAUUCAAACUCCAUGAAUAGACAGGGAGUCUGCAGAACGGGCAGAAUGGAAGGGAAACCAUGUUCUCUUCACAUGAGUGCUCAAGGUACCCAAAAUGUAUAGAAACCAAUUGACAAUGGCUGAUAAAAGUAAAAGUCAACAAAGGAGAUCAAAAACCCAUGAGCAGCUAUAGGAGACCAGAGGAAGAGGGCGAGGCUUCUACAAGGUGCAGUGCUGAUGCAGGACGUUCUCUCAAAACAUCAAAUGCAGGUUGACAACCAAAGCUCCUAGAGACCUGUAGGACAUAACCAUUAGAAGAGAAGCACUUGACAUUAGCAAAGGCACUUGGAUAAUUUAAACAAACAAACUCUUGACGGGAGGAUCAGAACUUAGUUCCCCACCCUGCCUCUUUCCUCACUGGGAACUUUCCUGCCAGCGUUUCAGAAGAGUCGAGAACAGGCCUACGUGAAUGCUUGCACGUCUGUGCAAUCCUGUCCGUCUGGCACUCUGGCUGUGCUUACAUGCUUCGUCUUCUGAUGACACAGUUGGAGAAAUAAAGUCAGGAAGUGAAGUUUAUGGCUGAGAAGGCAGCCCACGUUCAAAGUGACUGACAGCAGAAGCCGCAAGGAGGGCUGUGCAUUUGUUCCUUGGAGAGAGUAGUGAAUAAAAAUGACAAGAACUCUGACAAGAACUCGGAAGGUCAGACAGACGGGUGUAAAUUCCAGCUGCUUUAUCAGUGGGCUAUCUGUGCUCUGGAGUGCUGGCUCUGAAGAACACACGGCAAG
Molecule: long non-coding RNA, 919 nt
Organism: Mastomys coucha (southern multimammate mouse)
Lineage: Eukaryota; Metazoa; Chordata; Mammalia; Rodentia; Muridae
Exons: 5
Source: RefSeq, a predicted model, not a curated record